RNAcentral lists this ribosomal RNA (253 nucleotides) under uncultured bacterium. RNAcentral's name for it is "partial 16S ribosomal RNA". It matches the Rfam family "Bacterial small subunit ribosomal RNA", at positions 524 to 776 of the family's 1533-position model. The record is from RNAcentral.
CACGUAGGGCGCAAGCGUUGUCCGGAAUCAUUGGGCGUAAAGGGCUCGUAGGUGGUCAACUAAGUCGGACGUGAAAUCCCUCGGCUUAACCGGGGAACUGCGUCCGAUACUGGAUGACUUGAGUUCGGGAGAGGGAUGCGGAACUCCAGGUGUAGCGGUGAAAUGCGUAGAUAUCUGGAGGAACACCGGUGGCGAAGGCGGCAUCCUGGACCGACACUGACGCUGAGGCGCGAAAGCUAGGGGAGCAAACAGG